AGAGAGAGACAUGCGCGCAUAUCAAUAAGCGGAGGAAAAGAAACUAACAAGGAUUCCCUUAGUAACAGCGAGUGAAGCGGGAAGAGCUCAAAUUUGAAAUCUUCAAGGUUUUACCUUGACGAAUUGUAGUUUAAAGAAGUGUUUUCUGCUGAAGUUUUGGUAAAAGUUCUUUGGAAUAGGACAUCAUAGAGGGUGAGAAUCCCGUAUUUGACCAUUAUUUUCAGCUUUGUGAUACACUUUCAAAGAGUCGGAUUGUUUGGGAAUGCAGUCCAAAAUGGGUGGUAAAUUUCAUCUAAAGCUAAAUAUUGGCGAGAGACCGAUAGCGAACAAGUACCGUGAGGGAAAGAUGAAAAGAACUUUGAAAAGAGAGUUAAACAGUACGUGAAAUUGUCAAAAGGGAAGCGUUUGACACCAGUGUUGUUUUCUCGAAAAUCAAUUAAAAAUGGCUCGAUUUUGUAUUGCUUGAGACCUUAAAAGCUCACUGUACAUUUUUCGUGUCUUUUUUAAUGCACUUUUCGUUUAACAAGUCAACAUCAGUUUCUUUUGUUGUAAAAGGGUCAUUGGAAGGUGGCUUUCUUUUCGGAGAAAGUGUUUAUAGCCUUUGGCCUCUGCAAUCGGAGAGACUGAGGUCUGCAGCGUAGACUCUUCGGGGUUAGAUACAUUUGUGCUAAGUUAUAGCUUUUUAUAGACAACUUGUUGACUAUAAUUAGUCUUGUAGCUUACUCGCUUAUGCUAUUUUACCUACGCUUAGGAUGUUGAGUCGUAGAGCACGCAG
RNAcentral lists this ribosomal RNA (775 nucleotides) under uncultured Neocallimastigales. RNAcentral describes it as "partial large subunit ribosomal RNA". It matches the Rfam family "Eukaryotic large subunit ribosomal RNA", at positions 23 to 626 of the family's 3401-position model. The record is from RNAcentral. Lineage: Eukaryota; Fungi; Neocallimastigomycota; Neocallimastigomycetes; Neocallimastigales.